CUACGGGUGGCUGCAGUGAGGAAUUUUGCGCAAUGGGGGAAACCCUGACGCAGCAACGCCGCGUGAGUGAUGAAGGCUUUCGGGUCGUAAAGCUCUGUCAAGUGGGAAGAAACUGAUUGGCGGUAAUAUCGCCGGUCACUGACGGUACCACUGAAGGAAGCACCGGCUAACUCGCGUGCCAGGCAGCCGCGGUAACACGGGGGGUGCAAGCGUUAUUCGGAAUUAUUGGGCGUAAAGAGCGCGUAGGCGGUCUUUUAAGUCAGAUGUGAAAGCCCGGGGCUUAACCCCGGAAGUGCAUUUGAAACUAAAAGACUUGAGUAUGGGAGAGGGAAGUGGAAUUCCUGGUGUAGAGGUGAAAUUCGUAGAUAUCAGGAGGAACACCGGUGGCGAAGGCGACUUCCUGGACCAAUACUGACGCUGAGGCGCGAAGGCGUGGGGAGCAAACAGGAUUAGAUACCCCAGUAGUC
This 467-nucleotide ribosomal RNA is filed under the name uncultured bacterium. Its description in RNAcentral is "partial 16S ribosomal RNA". It matches the Rfam family "Bacterial small subunit ribosomal RNA", at positions 339 to 795 of the family's 1533-position model. The record is from RNAcentral.